UGAGUAGCCACUCAGCUCUUACUUGGCUUCGCACAUUUGGCCCAGAUUAUUCUGAGCAUUGUAAACUAAAAGUGAAAUUCGGUUUCUACUUAAGAGAGAGCGUGAUUUUCCCCAGUAUUAUCUCCUGUGCCCCCAACACUCCACCAGGCUUUAAAGGCCAUUAUACAGAAGGGAGAACUGAGACUCAGGAGAUUGAUGGUUUGUUCAGAAUCGCAGAAGCAGCGUGGAUCCAAGAAGGGAUCUGCUCCCAAACAGAAACCAGUGUCUUGGGAGAGAGAGAGCAGAGGAAGCCCGCACCUCUGCCCUAACCUGAGGCUUUGAGCCUCCCGCAAAGCCGAAGAUGAGGUUUCACUAUAUUGCACAGGCUGGUCUUGAACUGCUGGCCUUAAGCAAUCCUCCUGCCUUGGCCUCCCAAAGUGCUGGAGUUACAGAUGUGAGCCUCUGUGCUCAGCCCAUCCUUGGCUGUUCAAGUGUAGAGGUAAGUAGUAGAUGCCAAGUUUACCUUCAGGUCAGAAGGGGCAGAUGCCCCAGGGCAGAGUCAUAACCCUAACCAGGCCUCCCACUGCAUGAAGACAUUAUGUUCUGAAGCUUAAACCUGGACAAAGGUCUGACCAGUAGCACUGUGUUCAUGAAUAUCAGGUCAAAAAUUUAAAACUGGGACUAUGCAGAAGAACCUGGUAGAUGUAGGUGCAGUCCACAGUCCAAUGGUCAGCCUUGAUAACAAGC
Molecule: long non-coding RNA, 726 nt
Filed under: Homo sapiens (human)
Lineage: Eukaryota; Metazoa; Chordata; Mammalia; Primates; Hominidae
Description: HSALNT0266211
Source: RNAcentral